UACGAAGGGGGCUAGCGUUGCUCGGAAUCACUGGGCGUAAAGGGUGCGUAGGCGGGUCUUUAAGUCAGGGGUGAAAUCCUGGAGCUCAACUCCAGAACUGCCUUUGAUACUGAAGAUCUUGAGUUCGGGAGAGGUGAGUGGAACUGCGAGUGUAGAGGUGAAAUUCGUAGAUAUUCGCAAGAACACCAGUGGCGAAGGCGGCUCACUGGCCCGAUACUGACGCUGAGGCACGAAAGCGUGGGGAGCCAAA
RNAcentral lists this ribosomal RNA (250 nucleotides) under uncultured bacterium. RNAcentral describes it as "partial 16S ribosomal RNA". It matches the Rfam family "Bacterial small subunit ribosomal RNA", at positions 524 to 773 of the family's 1533-position model. The record is from RNAcentral.